ACUGCUCAGUAACACGUGGCUAACCUACCCUUGAGACGGAGACAACCCCGGGAAACUGGGGCUAAUCCCAGAUAGAUGAGAACUCCUGGAACGGGUUCUCGUCCAAAAGGCGUCUAGGUCAUGCUUCUAGGCGUCGCUCAAGGAUGGGGCCGCGGCCGAUCAGGCUGUUGGUGAGGCAACGGCUCACCAAACCUUUAACCGGUACGGGCCGUGGGAGCGGGUGCCCGGAGAUGGGAACUGAGACAAGGUCCCAGGCCCUACGGGGCGCAGCCGUUGCGAAAACUCGUCAAUGCACGAAAGUGUGAACGGGCUACCCCGAGUGCUGUCCGCUGAGGAUGGCUUUUCUCUGCUGUAAGGAGGCGGAGGAAUAAGGAGAGGGCAAGUCUGGUGUCAGCCGCCGCGGUAAUACCAGCUCUCCGAGUGGUGGGGAUGUUUAUUGGGCCUAAAGCGUCCGUAGCCUGCCCUUCAAGUCUUUCGUUAAAUCCAGCGAUUCAAUCGUUGGACUGCGGGAGAUACUGUUGGGCUAGGGGGCGGGAGAAGCCGACGGUAUUCCCGGGGUAGGGGUAAAAUCCUAUAAUCCUGGGAGGACCACCAGUGGCGUAGGCGGUCGGCUAGCACGUGCUCGACGGUGAGGGACGAAAGCUGGGGGAGCAAACCGGAUUAGAUACCCGGAUAGUCCCAGCUGUAAACGAUGCGGGCUAGGUGUUGGGGUGGCCACGAGCCACUUCAGUGCCGCAGGGAAGCCAUUAAGCC
This 753-nucleotide ribosomal RNA is filed under the name uncultured crenarchaeote. Its description in RNAcentral is "bacterial SSU rRNA". It matches the Rfam family "Archaeal small subunit ribosomal RNA", at positions 85 to 821 of the family's 1478-position model. The record is from RNAcentral. Lineage: Archaea; Thermoproteati; Thermoproteota.